CAGAAAGUGUACCCACUAGCAUCUUUGGUGAUGGCCACCUGCUGGGCUUUAAGGAGGCCAACUAAGGAGAUAAUGUACCAGAGGCACAUGGUUGCAUAGAGUUAGCUUCCUCUGGGGCAGGUGUCUUCUUGAAGUGGGAAGCGUGGAUCCAGUUAGGCCUUCCGGCCAAUUUGACAGAGGUAGGGGAGAUCAGGAGAACUUGGAACGGACAUUUACUGUUUUCGCACAAAUUUCUUGACCAGAACCCAGUCACCGGGGAGCAGACUGUGGUUGCCUGUGUCAGAAUCAGGAUCUGGAAUUGAAGAGAAAACUUGGGCAUGGAUUUUGUUCAAAGCAUUUGCGAGUUCAGUUACAUAAUCUACAAAAACAUCAGUUUGAAGUUGUAGUUGUUGGGGAAAAUAGCAACCUAGCCUAGGUGCAGUCCCAAAUAGAAUCUCAUAUGGGGACAGUGAGGUAGUAUUUUUGUACAAGAGCAUUCAUUAGAUCCUUUGAUAAAUGUGCAGGUCCGUGUGCCCAUUGUACGACUGCUGGGUACAAAU
This is a non-coding RNA of Pelobates cultripes (western spadefoot toad), 539 nucleotides long. Lineage: Eukaryota; Metazoa; Chordata; Amphibia; Anura; Pelobatidae. The record is from the annotation of a GenBank genome assembly.